UACGGGGGGAGCAAGCGUUGUUCGGAUUUACUGGGCGUAAAGGGCGCGUAGGCGGUCAGCACAAGUCAGUUGUGAAAUCUCCGGGCUUAACUCGGAACGGUCAACUGAUACUGUGCGACUAGAGUGCAGAAGGGGCAACUGGAAUUCUCGGUGUAGCGGUGAAAUGCGUAGAUAUCGAGAAGAACACCGGUGGCGAAGGCGGCUCGCUGGGCUGGUUCUGACACUCAGCCGCGAAAGCGUGGGGAGCAAACAGG
RNAcentral lists this ribosomal RNA (254 nucleotides) under uncultured bacterium. RNAcentral's name for it is "partial 16S ribosomal RNA". It matches the Rfam family "Bacterial small subunit ribosomal RNA", at positions 524 to 776 of the family's 1533-position model. The record is from RNAcentral.